UUGCAGACAAUUAAGCUGACCAUGCUCUUUUCCCCAUGGGGGCCUGGUGUGCAAUGGCUGCAAACAGUAGCCUCGUCGGUAGCGUAUACAGCCUGUUGCCUGUGUGGGUUGCCCUAAGGGGCCUUGGAGACAGCC
Molecule: small nucleolar RNA, 135 nt
Organism: Delphinapterus leucas (beluga whale)
Lineage: Eukaryota; Metazoa; Chordata; Mammalia; Artiodactyla; Monodontidae
Gene: SNORA70
Rfam family: Small nucleolar RNA SNORA70
About the family: snoRNA U70 seems to be exclusive to mammals and is a member of the H/ACA class of snoRNA which contain H (ANANNA) and ACA box motifs. H/ACA box snoRNAs are involved in the conversion of uridines to pseudouridines (5-ribosyluracil) a constituent of structural RNAs (transfer, ribosomal, small nuclear, and small nucleolar).
Source: Ensembl